GACGAACGCUGGCGGCGUGCUUAACACAUGCAAGUCGAACGGAAAGGCCCUGCUUUUGUGGGGUGCUCGAGUGGCGAGCGGGUGAGUAACACGUGAGUAACCUGCCCCUGACUUUGGGAUAACUUCAGGAAACUGGGGCUAAUACCGGAUAGGAGCUCCUGCUGCAUGGUGGGGGUUGGAAAGUUUCGGCGGUUGGGGAUGGACUCGCGGCUUAUCAGCUUGUUGGUGGGGUAGUGGCUUACCAAGGCUUUGACGGGUAGCCGGCCUGAGAGGGUGACCGGCCACAUUGGGACUGAGAUACGGCCCAGACUCCUACGGGAGGCAGCAGUGGGGAAUAUUGCACAAUGGGCGGAAGCCUGAUGCAGCAACGCCGCGUGCGGGAUGACGGCCUUCGGGUUGUAAACCGCUUUCGCCUGUGACGAAGCGUGAGUGACGGUAAUGGGUAAAGAAGCACCGGCUAACUACGUG
This 468-nucleotide ribosomal RNA is filed under the name uncultured bacterium. Its description in RNAcentral is "partial 16S ribosomal RNA". It matches the Rfam family "Bacterial small subunit ribosomal RNA", at positions 28 to 507 of the family's 1533-position model. The record is from RNAcentral.